GAUGAACGCUGGCGGCGUGCUUAACACAUGCAAGUCGAACGGAAAGGCCCAAGCUUGCUUGGGUACUCGAGUGGCGAACGGGUGAGUAACACGUGGGUGAUCUGCCCUGCACUUCGGGAUAAGCCUGGGAAACUGGGUCUAAUACCGGAUAGGACGAUGGUUUGGAUGCCAUUGUGGAAAGUUUUUUCGGUGUGGGAUGAGCUCGCGGCCUAUCAGCUUGUUGGUGGGGUAAUGGCCUACCAAGGCGUCGACGGGUAGCCGGCCUGAGAGGGUGUACGGCCACAUUGGGACUGAGAUACGGCCCAGAGUCCUACGGGAGGCAGCAGUGGGGAAUAUUGCACAAUGGGCGCAAGCCUGAGGCAGCGACGCCGCGUGGGGGAUGACGGCCUUCGGGUUGUAAACUCCUUUCGCUAGGGACGAAGCGUUUUUGUGACGGUACCUGGAGAAGAAGCACCGGCUAACUACGUG
Molecule: ribosomal RNA, 468 nt
Filed under: uncultured bacterium
Lineage: Bacteria
Description: partial 16S ribosomal RNA
Rfam family: Bacterial small subunit ribosomal RNA
Source: RNAcentral